ACUGGAGUGCGCGUGAACUCUCUACACGGGAGAAGUUACAUAAGUAGUCUCAUAUUCUCAACCAUCCAUCUAGAUAAGGUUUCGGUAGAGGCUAUCUCGGUAGUAUUUCCAUGGGUAGUUUCAUGAGCCUGGGAAGAGUUUUACACGGCUUCUUUCUGCAUCAUAAACGUGAAAACAAACUCGUAUUCUAAAAAUUUAAGGGCUUAUAAAUACACAUUGGAUAAGGCUUUCGUAGAGGUUGUGUUGGUAUUGUUUUCAAGGGUAGUUUUACGAGCCUUGUGAUAGUUUGGCAAGGUUUUUCAGAGCCUAGUUGUAUAAAGUGAUAUAGAAAAAUCAACAGAACCGACCAACUCACUGCAAAACGGGUCAAUAGGAGAAAUCACCCAUACUAGUGUUGAGGACUCGCACGACGAUUAAAAAAAAAAAGUAAAAAAUUAGUAAAUAAAUUAGUUAAAAAGAUUAUUUAAAAAAUUAGUUAAAAAAAUUAGUGUUGAUGAAGUAAAAAAAAAAUAGUUUAAAAAAUUAGUUAAAAAAGUUAAAAAAUUAGUGUUCAUGAAGUAAAAAAAAAAUAGUUUAAAAAAUUAGUUAAAAAAAAGUUAAAAAAUUAGUGUUGAAGUAGAAAAAUGUUUAAAAAUUAGUUAAAAAAGUAAAAAAAUUAGUUAAAAAAAAUUAGUGUUGUUGAUGACUCAUACGACGAUUAAAAAUAAAAAUAAAAACGUAGUAUUAGUAGCCAUCAACAGCUCUGAGGUUAGUUUGUCUUUUCCACUUUGGGACGAAAAAUUAGUCAGCAGAGUUGGAUUUCCUCGACCUCGACACAUCGCAAACUCAGUCGUAGGAGUUGAAAUAAAAAAACAAAACAAAUAAAAAAACAAACAACUCUGAUUUUAAACGGAUCAGAAAGGAGAGCUCAGUCGUAUUAGUGAUGAUGAUGAUGAUGUUGAUGAUGAUGAUGAUGAAGACGUUGAAAAUUGAUGUUGUUGUUGUUGAUGAAGACGUUGAAAAAUGAUUAACACUUCUAAGCCACGCAGCACAGCCAAUAUGUUGAGUUGUGUGCGUGUGUUUGUGUGUGUGUGUGUGUGUGUGUGUGUGUGUG
This is a long non-coding RNA of Eriocheir sinensis (Chinese mitten crab), 1093 nucleotides long. RefSeq lists it as uncharacterized. The transcript has 2 exons. The record is from RefSeq and is a predicted model, not a curated record. NCBI's taxonomy places the organism in Eukaryota, Metazoa, Arthropoda, Malacostraca, Decapoda, Varunidae.